RNAcentral lists this ribosomal RNA (253 nucleotides) under uncultured bacterium. RNAcentral describes it as "partial 16S ribosomal RNA". It matches the Rfam family "Bacterial small subunit ribosomal RNA", at positions 524 to 776 of the family's 1533-position model. The record is from RNAcentral.
UACGUAGGGUGCGAGCGUUGUCCGGAAUUAUUGGGCGUAAAGGGCUCGUAGGCGGUCUGUCGCGUCGGGAGUGAAAACUCAGGGCUUAACCCUGAGCCUGCUUCCGAUGCGGGCAGACUAGAGGUAUGCAGGGGAGAACGGAAUUCCUGGUGUAGCGGUGGAAUGCGCAGAUAUCAGGAGGAACACCGGUGGCGAAGGCGGUUCUCUGGGCAUUACCUGACGCUGAGGAGCGAAAGUGUGGGGAGCGAACAGG